Lycium barbarum (goji berry) is the source of this 1027-nucleotide long non-coding RNA. RefSeq lists it as uncharacterized. The record is from RefSeq and is a predicted model, not a curated record. NCBI's taxonomy places the organism in Eukaryota, Viridiplantae, Streptophyta, Magnoliopsida, Solanales, Solanaceae. The transcript is spliced from 2 exons.
GUACAAAUGAAACACAGUAUCAGAGGAAAAAUAACGACUUGACAUGGUGCAUAAUCUUCUAAGUAAAGGAUAUUGGAAAGUGACAAUAAUACCACUGUAGUGACUGAAAAUUUCGUAAGGUUUUAUCGUAGUCUUCGGUAAAUUUCGAUUUAAGUUUGACAUUAUAAAGUGCAUUAAUAAAUUCGUUUUACGUGCCGAUGAAGAUGAUAGACUAGAAAAAUAUCUAUGAACAUGUUAAUACUACAUAACAUGGUUCGAGUUUACCUGACAUCGUAUAAGUAUAUACUUAUGUUAGGAAAAAGAAAGGGGGAGAUGACUAUUUGGUUGUGAAGUAUAAUGACACUACUGGAGUUUAUUUAUUUAAUUAUUUAUUCUCUCUUUGCACUUAAGGCAUGUAACUGAUGUUGAAAGGGUCUUGAGUGAAGUGGAAGAAGCAACUUUGUUUUGAUAUUCUUUUAUUAGUAUAUAGUCUUGAGAAAUGGACAAAAUAGAUACAAUUUAAUUCUAGGAGCUUACUAACUUAUCACGUGGGGUCACCUUUACCCUUAUACCUAUAUAAAAUUAUUUGGUCUUAUUUGGUCUCAAAACAUUAGGACCUAGUGAUAGUAUCACUGCCAAGGGAAAAAUUGCACCAGAACUGAGCAGUGAAAGGGUCUCUCCGCUGAAGCACUUUGUGAAACAUCCAAGGUUUUAGCAAGCGGUCAGGUGCAGGACGGUCAACGUGCGAGUUAGAGUUCCUGCAGCUUUCUCAUUUUGGUGGGGCCACUUUUGCACUCGUGGAUCACUUUAUUUCAGUUGUAUACUUUUGUAUAGUGCGGGAUUACCACCGUAACUUUAUUAUUUCAUUCGUAGCGUCAUAGAGACUCCAUAGAGAUUUUGUAUCAUUUUGGGCAGUGGGUACUCAUAUGGCAUAGCGAAUGACAUUUCUAAUUAUGUUUACUUUACGUUUUGAUGUACUUUGAUCGUGAAGGGAGUUAUUUUAUUUUGUCUCAUAUUUUUAUUAAGUUAAUUAAUUGAGUUAGUUGAA